Juglans microcarpa x Juglans regia is the source of this 350-nucleotide long non-coding RNA. RefSeq lists it as uncharacterized. Lineage: Eukaryota; Viridiplantae; Streptophyta; Magnoliopsida; Fagales; Juglandaceae. The record is from RefSeq and is a predicted model, not a curated record. The transcript is spliced from 2 exons.
GGCAAAUCUUUUCUUGUCUUGCCAUUUCGGAUUCUAAAGGAAUUAAUACGUUGAAAAUAGAAAGAAAAUGAAAGAAGUAUGAGAGUUUUGAGUCCUCUUGCUUGCUGACCAAGCCACAUGCAGGCAACAUCUUUCAUUUCUAUUUUCAACAUCUUUCCAUUGUACUUUACAUUAACAGUACUUCAACUUCCCAUCUUUAAUUCACAAAGUCCAACUCCAUGCCAAAUACUGGUUACAGAUUACAAUAGCAAGCAUCCCACCUAAUAUAUUUGUGAUACCAUAAUCCCAAUAUUUCACAACUGUCCAUGCGAUUGGCAUAAACUAACCUUGCAUCAAACUGAACCUUGAAA